GGGUUUGUGGCUCAGUGGUAGAGCACUUGCCUAGCAUGCAUGAGGCCCUAGGUUCUAUCCCCAACACCA
RNAcentral lists this transfer RNA (69 nucleotides) under Ictidomys tridecemlineatus (thirteen-lined ground squirrel). Its description in RNAcentral is "Spermophilus tridecemlineatus (thirteen-lined ground squirrel) tRNA". It matches the Rfam family "tRNA". From Rfam's summary of the family: Transfer RNA (tRNA) molecules are approximately 80 nucleotides in length. The record is from Rfam by way of RNAcentral. Lineage: Eukaryota; Metazoa; Chordata; Mammalia; Rodentia; Sciuridae.